This 240-nucleotide unclassified non-coding RNA is filed under the name soil metagenome. Its description in RNAcentral is "partial contains 5.8S ribosomal RNA, internal transcribed spacer 2, and large subunit ribosomal RNA". The record is from RNAcentral.
AACCAUUCUCACCUGCGGCUAGACCUGCGGAAGGAUCAUUACCGAGUGUGAACCCCCCCCGUAAAAAAGAGGGGUUACCUCCCGUCCUUUGCUGGGAACCCCUUUCCAACUUGGAAGGAGGUUGUUUUCAGACCCUUCUGCUUCGGUGGGGUAACCCACCGGAACAACCUCAAAAAUAUUCUCAAUUCAAAACCGUUCAGUCCGAGAACUUUUUUGAAAAGCGAAAAAACUUUCAACAAC